AGCAAAAGCACAGGGGGGACAUGGGGUCACAUCACGUGGGGUUGCAGGAGCCGCAAGGAGAUGGCGAUCAGGGACAGAGAGGCUCUGGGGAGAACAAAACCUGGCGCCAUCAAGCAAUGAGCAUAUAUUUUAGAAGUGGAUGCUGUCACACAGAAGUAUUAUGAAAUCUAACAUCCUAUUGUGUGUUGCAUAAAAUAGUGAAAACGAAAUGUCUAUUUUUGUUAAAAAUCACUAUGUAAGCACAUGGCUGGCCAACAGAUUCAAAAAAAUCUGGUCCCCGUGGCUUGACCUAAACCCUGAAACAACAGAGGUGGUCUAAGGCCCUCAGACAAUGAGACACAUGAAUCUAAAUUAAUGGAAAUGUAGUCCUAGUAAUAAUAGUACAGAAUAUGGCAAACACUGUGUCACUGUAUAUAAACUUGAUAUGCGAUUCAUUUAUUAUGUAAUCCCAUCGCUGUUUCCUUCUCUCUUCUCAUCUUCUUCUUUUCCUUCCUCUCUUAAGUUAAACAGAAAAACAAUGAAAAGAUACUUUAAAAAAUAAAAUAAAAAAUCACUAUGUAAUGUUGUGUGAAGCAGGGUAGUUGGCAGAGAAAGCAUUUUCAUCUAGUUGGGAAGUACUUUUUGUGUUUGCAUGUGUGUUUGCUGGUACUUGCAAGUCUCUGCUUGGUGAAAAUGCUGGUAUUUUUAUACUUUGUGUAAAAUUUUAAACAAAAAAUUGGUUAGUCGCAGAAUUAAUAAUCUUCAUCCAAACAUUAAAAGGUAAUUUUUUUUUACAUGUACAGCACUGUCUGUUAGAACUCAAUAUUGAUUUACAGUGUACAGAUCAGAGCAUCAGAGAUACAGAGCAUCCAUAUGGAAGCGAAAUUAGGCCAAUAGUUUUUGGGGGGUGCCGAUUUGCUUCCAAAGCAUGCCUUUAUAAGCUGCACUUUGCAGUUGGUCUGUACCUCAGUGCUAAACACUAUCUUACAAGGAGACCCUGUUUCAUUUGGGGGAGGAAAUAUGUUAGGUACCCUGCAGGGAAUUAAAUUGCUAUUUUUCCCCCAAGUCCCUGCUCCGUUUAGGAAAAAAAAACACUGGCCUGAGGUAAAAAACUAACACAGGGCUACAAGGCCACCUAACUUACCUUUUCCAAAAGCCCCUCAUAUUAAUAUAAAAAUAGGCCAUGCUUAUUUGCUAGAUGUAAUUCCUUUGCAGUAAACUUUUCUGAGUCUUCAGAAAUAUAAAAAAUAGAUCAGCAGUGUUUCACUAAGUAUGUUUAAUAGUUGUAUGUUUAGAUUCUGUUUGCUAAUUGGGUUGUUAGGUGUCUGACCUGACUGUUGGUCAUUUGUCCACAUUCCGCUGUGAUUGAUGGCAUUCUUUUAUGUGUGUUAAUGUUGAAGAGUCUGCAGUGUCUUUUUCAGGCCCGGCCAGCGGACAUGUUUUCCUUCUGAGAGACAGAUACUGUAAACAUCCUACACUCUCAGCUGUGGAAAUACAAAGCUGGGGGAAGGCUGUUUACUCUCUCUGCCUCUAACAGCAGCUGAAAGGAAGUCAAGUAGGUGCCUUGGAAGAGUAUUUUAUCGGCUUCCCUUUCUCUCACAAACCUGAGGUUUUACAGCCAAUGAUUUGUACUUCUGAGAAGUGAUUUUUUCGAGACCUUUAAAAAGGCAAUAAACAUAUAUUGCACCAUUAA
Long non-coding RNA from Xenopus tropicalis (tropical clawed frog), 1672 nucleotides. RefSeq lists it as uncharacterized. The record is from RefSeq and is a predicted model, not a curated record. The transcript is spliced from 2 exons. NCBI's taxonomy places the organism in Eukaryota, Metazoa, Chordata, Amphibia, Anura, Pipidae.